GGCCGCGGGAAUUCGAUUACAGUUUGAUCCUGGCUCAGGAUGAACGCUAGCGGGAGGCUUAACACAUGCAAGUCGAGCGGCAGCACGGACUUCGGUCUGGUGGCGAGCGGCGCACGGGUGCGUAACGCGUAUGCAACCUGCCUUAUACAGGGGGAUAGCCCAUGGAAACGUGGAUUAAUACCCCAUAACAUUAUGAAUUCGCAUGGAUUUAUAAUUAAAAUUCCGAUGGUAUAAGAUGGGCAUGCGUCUGAUUAGCUAGUUGGUGAGGUAACGGCUCACCAAGGCGACGAUCAGUAGGGGUUCUGAGAGGAUUAUCCCCCACACUGGUACUGAGACACGGACCAGACUCCUACGGGAGGCAGCAGUGAGGAAUAUUGGUCAAUGGGCGCGAGCCUGAACCAGCCAUCCCGCGUGCAGGAUGACGGCCCUAUGGGUUGUAAACUGCUUUUCUACGCCAAGAAACGGCCCUACGUGUAGGGCACUGACGGUAGCGUAGGAAUAAGCAUCGGCUAACUCCGUGCCAGCAGCCGCGGUAAUACGGAGGAUGCAAGCGUUAUCCGGAUUCAUUGGGUUUAAAGGGUGCGCAGGCGGGAAAGUAAGUCAGUGGUGAAAAACUGCCGCUCAACGGUAGUCGUGCCAUUGAUACUGCUUUUCUUGAGUUUGGAUGAGGUAGGCGGAAUGUGCAGUGUAGCGGUGAAAUGCAUAGAGAUUGCACAGAACACCAAUUGCGAAGGCAGCUUACUAAUCCACGACUGACGCUG
RNAcentral lists this ribosomal RNA (761 nucleotides) under uncultured bacterium. Its description in RNAcentral is "partial 16S ribosomal RNA". It matches the Rfam family "Bacterial small subunit ribosomal RNA", at positions 1 to 748 of the family's 1533-position model. The record is from RNAcentral.